CCUGGCUCAGGAUGAACGCUGGCGGCGUGCUUAACACAUGCAAGUCGAACGAUGAUCCGGUGCUUGCGCCGGGGAUUAGUGGCGAACGGGUGAGUAACACGUGAGUAACCUGCCCUUGACUCUGGGAUAAGCCUGGGAAACUGGGUCUAAUACCGGAUAUGACUCCUCAUCGCAUGGUGGGGGGUGGAAAGCUUUUUGUGGUUUUGGAUGGACUCGCGGCCUAUCAGCUUGUUGGUGGGGUAAUGGCCUACCAAGGCGACGACGGGUAGCCGGCCUGAGAGGGUGACCGGCCACACUGGGACUGAGACACGGCCCAGACUCCUACGGGAGGCAGCAGUGGGGAAUAUUGCACAAUGGGCGAAAGCCUGAUGCAGCGACGCCGCGUGAGGGAUGACGGCCUUCGGGUUGUAAACCUCUUUCAGUAGGGAAGAAGCCCUCUUUGGGGGUGACGGUACUUGCAGAAGAAGCGCCGGCUAACUACGUGCCAGCAGCCGCGGUAAUACGUAGGGCGCAAGCGUUAUCCGGAAUUAUUGGGCGUAAAGAGCUCGUAGGCGGUUUGUCGCGUCUGCUGUGAAAGACCGGGGCUCAACUCCGGUUCUGCAGUGGGUACGGGCAGACUAGAGUGCAGUAGGGGAGACUGGAAUUCCUGGUGUAGCGGUGAAAUGCGCAGAUAUCAGGAGGAACACCGAUGGCGAAGGCAGGUNUCUNGGC
This 711-nucleotide ribosomal RNA is filed under the name Paenarthrobacter ureafaciens. RNAcentral's name for it is "bacterial SSU rRNA". It matches the Rfam family "Bacterial small subunit ribosomal RNA", at positions 18 to 734 of the family's 1533-position model. Lineage: Bacteria; Bacillati; Actinomycetota; Actinomycetes; Micrococcales; Micrococcaceae. The record is from RNAcentral.